Piliocolobus tephrosceles (Ugandan red Colobus) is the source of this 136-nucleotide ribosomal RNA. NCBI's taxonomy places the organism in Eukaryota, Metazoa, Chordata, Mammalia, Primates, Cercopithecidae. The record is from Ensembl.
GCCUAUGCCCAUACCACCCUGAACCUGCCCGAUCUCCUGUGAUCUUGGAAGCUAAGCAAGGUCAGUCCUGGUUAGUACUUAGAUGGGAGAAAAUGUCCUUUUCUGUCCUCUACCCUCGAUAAGUAGAUGGUUGGUA